UCCUACGGGUGGCAGCAGUGAGGAAUAUUGCACAAUGGGGGAAACCCUGAUGCAGCAACGCCGCGUGAAGGAUGAAGGUCUUCGGAUUGUAAACUUCUUUUCUGUGGGAAGAGGAAGGACGGUACCACAGGAAUAAGACACGGCUAACUACGUGCCAGCAGCCGCGGUAAUACGUAGGUGUCAAGCGUUAUCCGGAAUUACUGGGCGUAAAGGGCGCGCAGGCGGCUUAGCAGGUUCGACGUGAAAUCUCUCGGCUUAACUGGGAGAGGCCGUUGGAGACUGCUGGGCUUGAGGUAGUGAGAGGGAGGCGGAAUUCCCGGUGUAGUGGUGGAAUGCGUAGAUAUCGGGAAGAACACCAGUGGCGAAAGCGGCCUUCUGGCACUAAUCUGACGCUGAGGUGCGAAAGCGUGGGGAGCGAACGGGAUUAGAUACCCCAGUAGUCUCA
This 445-nucleotide ribosomal RNA is filed under the name uncultured Caldilineaceae bacterium. Its description in RNAcentral is "bacterial SSU rRNA". It matches the Rfam family "Bacterial small subunit ribosomal RNA", at positions 337 to 797 of the family's 1533-position model. The record is from RNAcentral. Lineage: Bacteria; Bacillati; Chloroflexota; Caldilineae; Caldilineales; Caldilineaceae.